GCGGGAGUAGCUCAGCUGGUUAGAGCAUCAGCCUUCCAAGCUGAGGGUCGCGGGUUCGAGUCCCGUUUCCCGCUCCA
This 77-nucleotide transfer RNA is filed under the name Anaerolinea sp. RNAcentral's name for it is "tRNA-Gly". It matches the Rfam family "tRNA". Rfam says of the family: Transfer RNA (tRNA) molecules are approximately 80 nucleotides in length. Their secondary structure includes four short double-helical elements and three loops (D, anti-codon, and T loops). Further hydrogen bonds mediate the characteristic L-shaped molecular structure. tRNAs have two regions of fundamental functional importance: the anti-codon, which is responsible for specific mRNA codon recognition, and the 3' end, to which the tRNAs corresponding amino acid is attached (by aminoacyl-tRNA synthetases). tRNAs cope with the degeneracy of the genetic code in two manners: having more than one tRNA (with a specific anti-codon) for a particular amino acid; and 'wobble' base-pairing, i.e. permitting non-standard base-pairing at the 3rd anti-codon position. The record is from RNAcentral. RNAcentral also lists the same sequence under 5 other names. Lineage: Bacteria; Bacillati; Chloroflexota; Anaerolineae; Anaerolineales; Anaerolineaceae.